This 3537-nucleotide ribosomal RNA is filed under the name Triticum aestivum (bread wheat). RNAcentral's name for it is "partial small subunit ribosomal RNA". Lineage: Eukaryota; Viridiplantae; Streptophyta; Magnoliopsida; Poales; Poaceae. The record is from RNAcentral.
AAAAAAGGGAAUGGUUUGUGUGCAGCGCGCCGGCCGAACUUUCCGCCGGCUCGCUUGCAACGAUACUGCCCCCUUCCGCAUCCGACGCAUGUAUGUGAUGAGUCCAGCACAACAGCCUCUCUCCCUUAUCCUUUCCUAGCCUAUCUUUUCCCUUUUUCUUCUUCCUCCAGCCACACACAAAUGGGCUUUGCUCCUCCUUCUUCCUCCAGCCAUGACGGGCUCUGCUCCUCCUUCUUCCUCCAGCCAAUAGGAGCUCUGCUCCUCCACAAGCUUUUUUGUCGCGAGCGUCGGUAGAGACCAGCGGUGGUGAGGAAAACAGGUGGGGGCGUACAAGCGCUGCACGACCCAGGGGUUGGGGGCGGCUGCCAUGACCUCCAGUCUGGGUGGUGGCGGAACCACCACAAGUUCUCACCGGCGAGGCGGCGACGACGUGCUCGAGCAUGAGAAGCCUCCCCACCAUGCUACAAGCUUCAAACGCCAAGCAGGUGUUGCAACCAGCAGCAGGAUUUGCUGGAACCGGCCGGUGGAGGUGUUGGAACCGGCUUUGGCGCGGUGUUGCAUCCUCCACCAGAGAUGUUGGUACCGCCUUCGCGGUGUGCUGGAAACGGCAAACCAAUUGCUAUAGUGGGGCGAAGGCAUUGUCCAGUCGACCGGCGACGUGCUACAACGAGACGACAUUUUUUUUGCUGGAACGAGAAUUGCGACAUCAGGUAGAAGAAGCAAGCGAGUGCAGGUGGUGCUGGAAUGGGGGUCAUCAGAUGCUGGAACCGUCAAGUUUUUUUGCUACAACCAGCGAGCUUUUUUGUUGUGUCCGGCCACCGUUGAUGCUUGAGCGAGAUGUUGCCGACACGGCGACGAAGCAUUUUUGUUGGAACCAGCUAGAUAUUUUGCUACGACCAUCUCCCAUUUUUGCUACGGACGACAAUCGAGGCGACGUACACUGCGAGCUUGCCGACGGGUGUUGCUGCCGGCGACUCGUCGCCACCGGAGUUGCGACCAUCACCACUAGAGCUGUAACCCCGUGAUACGCUGCUACAUUCACGGAGCCGGCGAGGAAUGCAAGAGGCGACGAAGGUGGGUGGUGUUUUGCGAGUGCCGGCGGCGGUGAGGCUGCGAGCACUGGCGACGAGCAGGGGCGGUGGCACCGGCGGAGAUACAGCAAGGCCGGAUGGGUCGUGGCCCGCCCAGGAUUGAAGGGGACAAAAGUUUUAUAAGAAGCCCAGCCCAUAACAUUGCACUGGUUUUCAGUUUGGUAGCACACUUUGCAGUCUCUGGCUCGCUCCUUUUUAUGGUAGCUCCGCCACUGGGCAGUGGUGGUCCAAACGAGAGCAUCGUGGGCCAGCGAUGUGUGGGAUCCGGCGAGCGGCGGCGGCGCUCGUUUUUUUCUCCUAUUUUUCCUUCCUGAGGCAGGAUGAAGAAAGGGGAGGCAGGGUCAAAUCUGACGGUUACCUGCGGAUAGAUCGAGCGGCUACAGGCUGACCGGCCCAAAUUUGGGCCGGCGCCGGGGCCUAAAGCUCGCCUUAAAAAAAAGGAUGAAAGUCAUCGCCGAACACGAUUGGUAUGUAACCUGGAACGUAAGUUGUCAAGUAACACGAUUCAAAACAGCCUGGAUACGUGCGUGGGUUGUGCCUUUGGCCGGCGGCAAAUCGACUAGCUAGUAGGAGUACGACCUUGCUACGUUGCUUAGUACGGUACGGGUUCAAGUCAGCUUCUCGGCAAGAAGCGGGAUCAAAGUCAGUUUGCUUCUUCACGUCGUCGUCCGGAAGUAAUCGGUGCCGAUCGAGACUGGGCCAACAGGAGAUAAAACUGGAAGGUCCUCCAUAGUGCUAAGUUAGUCGUCUCUGUUUCGCGGAAAGGCAGUCCAGCCAUGGCGGCGGCGGUAGCGACGGCCGGCAGCCAGGAGGACAUGCUCGGCAAGCUGCCUGACGACAUUCUUCUCUGGAUCCUAAUCCGUCUUGAUUCACAAGACGUCGUAAGCUGCAGUCGCGCAAGCAGACGGUUGAGGCACCUCCCCGGUUUGCCUCCUAUUAUUUCCCUGAGCGUGAAGGACUACAUGUACGGCCGCUACGUGCAGCACAAGGACGACGACGGGUUUGAGGCGGUUUUGUCGAUAAAGUGCAGGAACAACAAGGCUUGGAGCACCACGGCCAUGGUGCAAUCCGUCAGGAGCAUCUUGGCAGGCAAGAACCAGCUUGGGUGCGCCGCCAUCCAUCAGCUCCACCUGACCUUCUACCUGAGGGACGAGUCCAUCGACAUCGUCCGCGCCGUCGAGGGAGCCAUCGCGCGCGGCCGCGGCAUCGUCGGCAGGGCGGGGUUCACGAUGCUGGGCGAGAAGAUCACCUACACGAGCGAGGUGACGGACCUGGUCGCGCAGGGAGCGCGCCUCCUCUCCUACCUCGGCGCCUGCCCGCGCGCGUUCGCCGCGCUCACACACCUGCACGUGGAGAGCGUCAAGCUGAGGCAGCCCGACGUGUCCAACCUGCUCGACCGCUGCAAGAAGCUGAAGCACCUGUCUCUGCAGAACCUUGAUUGUGGGAAAGAGGUGGUGCUGAGGAUCCAACACCCGGAGCUCACCCAGCUGAAGCUUGUCAUGUGCUUCUGUGACAGCUUCGAGCUCAAGUGGCUUCCGGAGCUAGAGGAGCUCACCAUUGGCACCUGGUGUCCUUCCAAGCGCCGAGACCCGGUGCUGUUCGGCCAUGCUCCGCGGCUUUCCAAGCUAACGGCCUGUAACGGCUAUAAUACCAGGUGCAGGAAACUCAAGCUGAGCGAGUUUCUUCGCGACGCAAACAUGCGUGAGCUGCAUAUGAACUUCGACACCGAAAUGCCAUGGUUUCAGAUGGAGCGACCAGAGCAACUGGCUCCUCGGCUGAAAAACCUGAGGAUUCUGAAGCUCGACAACAUCAAUGAAGAAUGCAGCGUCACUUGGACACUGUUCCUGCUGGAAGCUGCGCCUCUCUUGGAGAAGCUCCACAUCAAGGUGUCGAACCACGAGUGUGAAUCCUUUGAGGAUGAGAUGCUAAGGAAACUUCUGGUCGUCGCGACAAGUAACAUCGAGUUCGAACCAUCUGACUUCAAGCAUUAUAAGCUGGCCGUGCUCACCAUCUACGGCUUUCAGCCCGGCGAUAUGUUCAUGCAGUAUAUGAGACGGGUGAUGGAAGCGGCUGUCAAUUUGGAAGAGAUAUCUCUGCAUGACCACUGGUGCGAAGAGUGCGACUUUUAUCCAUUGACAAGGUAUCCCAAGACCGACCAAGACAGAGAAUUGAUACGGGAGGAGAUCAAUAGAGGGAGGCCGUCCCCUAUGAGGACCAUCCAAGUUUUAUUCAGUGAUAACAAGUAUAGAACCGAUGAUUGACCGUAUGUCCGUAUCACUGCGACCCUGCAUGACUUGUUGCAACUUCCUAAAUUGUCGUCUGGUGUAGCCUUUUUUAUAUUGAUUGACUGAACUUGUGUUUGUUCUUGGUACAGAUCAACUCAUAGGAAAUUAUACUUUACUGGUCUUUUUUAUUGUUUAUUACAAUAAAGUUUUUUAAUAGUCAC